Molecule: ribosomal RNA, 253 nt
Filed under: uncultured bacterium
Lineage: Bacteria
Description: partial 16S ribosomal RNA
Rfam family: Bacterial small subunit ribosomal RNA
Source: RNAcentral
UACGUAGGGGGCAAGCGUUAUCCGGAUUUACUGGGUGUAAAGGGAGCGUAGACGGAGCAGCAAGUCUGAUGUGAAAGACCGGGGCUUAACCCCGGGCCUGCAUUGGAAACUGUUGAUCUUGAGUGCCGGAGGGGUAAGCGGAAUUCCUGGUGUAGCGGUGAAAUGCGUAGAUAUCAGGAGGAACACCGGUGGCGAAGGCGGCUUACUGGACGGCAACUGACGUUGAGGCUCGAAAGCGUGGGGAGCAAACAGG